CGUCAGUGCUACAGUGCCUUCAGUUUUAAAGGACGGGAAUCUCCCCGUCCAUCACUUCCACAGACACCUCCUAUGUGCCAUUGCAGAUGUCUCCCUUUGAAGUCAAGGUGGUUUAAAUUUCUGCCCUACCACCUUCACAGAAUCAUUAGGGUUGGAAGGGACCCCUGGAGAUCCUCUAGUCCACCCCCCUGCCAAAGCAGGGCCACCUUGAGCAAGUUGCACAGGAUCAUGUCCAGGAAGGUUUUGAAUGGCUCCAGAGAGGGAGGCUCCACAACGCCCCUGGGGCAACCUGUUCCAGUGCUCUGCCACCCUCAACGUAAAACUCUUCCUCAUGUUAAGGCCCAGCUCCCACAAGCUCUCCUCAUAGGAGAGAUGCUCCAGACCCCUGAUCAUCCUUGAGGCGCUUCACAGGACUCUUUCCAGUAGCUUCUUGUCUUUCUUGUACUGAGAAGCCCAGAAUUGGACACAGUACUCCAGAUGUGGCCUCACCAGGGUCAAGUAGAGAGGUAGGAUCACCUCCAUUGACCUCAUGGCCAUGCUCCUCCUGAUGCACCCCAGGAUACUAUUUGCACUCCUGGCCGAAAGGGCACACUGCUCGCUCAUAGUCCUUUAAGGACUAACAUCACAAGAAGCAAUGGAACGACAGAGGCUUUGAAUGGUUAAGUUUCCACUGUACAGCCCUUAGGGGUGAGCCAGGCUCCAGUAAGCACGUGGUUUCCACAGGGCACUUGGAUGCUAUGUUUGGGUGGAAAAAUGUUACUAGAAUAGAUAUAUACUCAUUUAAGCAGCCACGUGAUGUGAACUGCUGGUAUUUCUGCUUCUGCUAGAAGAAAAAUUCAAAGCAUGCCUCUGCCAUUAUUUACACUGUCUAAAAAUACCCUAAACGAUUAGCGCAUGCCAUAAUGAUGCCUGAUGGAACAGAAGGAUUCACAGAAAAUUGUGAGCAUUUGUUCAGAUGAGGGAAAAGACCAAUUCCCCUCACACACGUGAUGAAAGGUCACACUUCUUGCAGGUCACACUACUUCUCCUUUGUUUCCAGCUUGUCUCCAGCACAGCUGCUGUGCUUAGCCAUUGAGAUAUGAACAUGCAGCAGGAUAGUUUCCAAUGAGGAAACCAACAUUUUAAAAGAGUGCUGCCAGUUUCCAAAGUGUUAGUGCACACCCAGCCCAUUGUAUUCAGAGCACUGGUCAAGCCUUGCAGCCUGUCUGUGGCCCAACUUGUCUGUGGCCCUGCCAUACGCAUUUUAAAAGGUGGCAGUACCAGUUGUUACAGUCCAUGUUACAAACCUUGCAGAUGCCCAUAAAGCGCAGUGGAGACAUCUUUCCUGAUAGGAAAAUUUAGGGUUAGCUUUUUCUUAAAUAUUCACUGUAUCUAACUAGUCAGUUAAGUCUGAGCAGUUCCAGGUGUAAAAAGCUACAAAUUACACAGGCUUAAAGAACUGAAAAACAAAGUUAACUGUACAGCUUGCAUUCUUCCAUGGCUAAGCAUCAGCAUAAACUUUUUAGAGGGUGGAUUGCUGAGCUUCAGUUCUGCCGAAAUGUCAUAUAAACAUGUAUAUUCCUUAA
Pezoporus occidentalis (night parrot) is the source of this 1565-nucleotide long non-coding RNA. RefSeq lists it as uncharacterized. The record is from RefSeq and is a predicted model, not a curated record. The transcript has 2 exons. NCBI's taxonomy places the organism in Eukaryota, Metazoa, Chordata, Aves, Psittaciformes, Psittacidae.